UUUAGGAUGACAGAGAUUUGCUUUUUGGACAGUUUCGACUAUUGCCAAAAGGUGGGCUUGGGGGCACAAUGGGUAAAUGUCAUGCUGUUAUCGCUUGCUUUUCUAGUCUGAGUGACAAGAGAUUCUGUUGGAUGUAUUGUUACGUGUAUUGAGAUAAACCUCCCACGUGAGCUUGGUUCACCAGCUUUUUACAAACUUGAAGCUGAGUUGGAUGAAGAUCCAAGCGUGAAGAAGAUCAUCCAAGAGUUCGAUCGUGUGGUCCCGAAUUGUGUCUUUUAACGGAUCACCUGGGUACCGAGUAAAGUCGGCAUUGUUGCGUGGCGUGCCGAAGGAGACAGGUUGCCAACUAGAGUUGCUCUUGCGAAAAGAGGUAUUCCAGUUUUGAGGACUUGAAUGUGUUCUAUGUGCGGAAUUCAAGGAAACGUGUGAGCAUAUUUUUGUGUCGUGCCAGUUCUCACAUGUGGUAUGGCAACUUAUUGGUCAAUGGUGCAAAACUAAUUCACUGUAUGUUUUCAGUUUUGGACCUGCACAAAUGGGUCCUAUUAGGUAAAAGGAGGCAAAACUCUUUUCAUGUUAUUUCCUUAGUUACGAUUUAGAGCAUAUAGAGGCAUAGAAAUUAAUUGGCCUUUUGACAAAAGCCGGUGUUCGUUUCAAAUGUAAUUGAUGAGAUUAAUUUAAUGAGUUUUCUUUGGGUCAGGAAUCGUGCAAAAGAGUGUGAUUACGUGGGAGAGGUGGAAGUCAUUUGAUGUGUUUUGGUUACUUCUAUUUAUUUAUUUAUUUUU
RNAcentral lists this long non-coding RNA (782 nucleotides) under Helianthus annuus (common sunflower). RNAcentral describes it as "hypothetical non coding rna". The record is from RNAcentral. Lineage: Eukaryota; Viridiplantae; Streptophyta; Magnoliopsida; Asterales; Asteraceae.